Molecule: transfer RNA, 64 nt
Filed under: Livia junci
Lineage: Eukaryota; Metazoa; Arthropoda; Insecta; Hemiptera; Liviidae
Description: tRNA-Val
Source: RNAcentral
UGAGUAAAUAGCUUAAAUUUAAAGUUUAUUAUUUACAUUAAUGAGAUAUUUUAGAAUUUUACUU